AGAGUUUGAUCCUGGCUCAGGACGAACGCUGGCGGCGUGUUUAACACAUGCAAGUCGAACGAGAAUCUAUGGAAAGAGGAUUCGUCCAAUUGAAAUAGAGGACAGUGGCGGACGGGUGAGUAACGCGUGAGGAACCUGCCUUUCAGAGGGGGACAACAGUUGGAAACGACUGCUAAUACCGCAUAACACAUAGGAGUCGCAUGGCUCUUAUGUCAAAGAUUUAUCGCUGAAAGAUGGCCUCGCGUCUGAUUAGCUAGUUGGUGAGGUAACGGCCCACCAAGGCGACGAUCAGUAGCCGGACUGAGAGGUUGAACGGCCACAUUGGGACUGAGAUACGGCCCAGACUCCUACGGGAGGCAGCAGUGGGGAAUAUUGGGCAAUGGGCGCAAGCCUGACCCAGCAACGCCGCGUGAAGGAAGAAGGCUUUCGGGUUGUAAACUUCUUUUGUCAGGGACGAGCAGAAGACGGUACCUGACGAAUAAGCCACGGCUAACUACGUGCCAGCAGCCGCGGUAAUACGUAGGUGGCAAGCGUUGUCCGGAUUUACUGGGUGUAAAGGGCGUGUA
RNAcentral lists this ribosomal RNA (566 nucleotides) under uncultured bacterium. Its description in RNAcentral is "bacterial SSU rRNA". It matches the Rfam family "Bacterial small subunit ribosomal RNA", at positions 8 to 573 of the family's 1533-position model. The record is from RNAcentral.